CCUACGGGAGGCAGCAGUGGGGAAUAUUGGACAAUGGGCGAAAGCCUGAUCCAGCCAUGCCGCGUGUGUGAAGAAGGUCUUCGGAUUGUAAAGCACUUUAAGUUGGGAGGAAGGGCAGUUACCUAAUACCUUGCUGUUUUGACGUUACCGACAGAAUAAGCACCGGCUAACUCUGUGCCAGCAGCCGCGGUAAU
RNAcentral lists this ribosomal RNA (194 nucleotides) under uncultured bacterium. RNAcentral's name for it is "partial 16S ribosomal RNA". It matches the Rfam family "Bacterial small subunit ribosomal RNA", at positions 338 to 524 of the family's 1533-position model. The record is from RNAcentral.